AACUUUUGACAAUGGAUCUCUUGGCUCUGGCAUCGAUGAAGAACGCAGCGAAAUGCGAUAAGUAAUGUGCAUUGCAGAAUUCAGUGAAUCAUCGAAUCUUUGAACGCACAUUGCGCCCGCCAGUAUUCUGGCGGGCAUGCCUGUUCGAGCGUCAUUUCAACCCUCAAGCCCCAGCCGGCUUGGUGUUGGGGACCGGCCCCGGCCGCCCCCCAAAUGCAGUGGCGACCUCGCCGCAGCCUCCCCUGCGUAGUAGCACAACCUCGCACCGGAGCGCGGAGACGGUCACGCCGUAAAACGCCCAACUUCUCAGAGUUGACCUCGGAUCAGGUAGGAAUACCCGCUGAACUUAAGCAUAUCAAUAAGCGGAGGCU
Molecule: unclassified non-coding RNA, 371 nt
Filed under: uncultured Tolypocladium
Lineage: Eukaryota; Fungi; Ascomycota; Sordariomycetes; Hypocreales; Clavicipitaceae
Description: sequence contains ITS2
Rfam family: 5.8S ribosomal RNA (bases 1-154)
Source: RNAcentral